AGUUGUUCAGACUUAAUAUAAAUUCUAAAUGAUAAAAAAAUCUCCAUUUUAUCAUAUAUAAAAAUAUUGACAAUCAUUAUGUUAAUUUAAUAUUCUAAAUUUAAUUUUUAAAUGAUCCUGUGGACCUGGGGAAGGUAUUAGCGGGGUGCGUCUUUUCCUUUUACAUACAUUCAUUAAAAUAUUGGUUCUGAUUUUGUAAAAUGGUUCGAACAUAUAUUAGAAAAACUAACAAAGAAAAUAAUGAUAAUCAAAAGGCAAGUAUUCUUCAAAUGCUGAAAGAUAAGAUACUAACUAUGAAUACGAAUUUAAGUUAUGGGAGCAUUAAGAGGUAUAAUAAAUUGUUCAAAAGGAAUGAAGAUUUUCAAGAGCUAUAUCUUCACAGAUCAGUAUUUUCUCCUAUUCAAGAAGCUAAAUUAACAGAUUAUUUAAUUAAAGGAUCAAGAUUAUUUAUGCCCUAAACAAGUUAGAAUUUUAGCUUAUCAAAUGGCCAAGAGGUAUAGUUUACAAGUACCAAAAUCUUGGGAAAUAACUCAAUCAGCUGGUGAAGACUGGUUUGGAGCAUUUAUUAAAAGAAAUCCAACUAUUUCUUUGAGAACACCAAAGGCUACAAGUAUAGCCACAUUGGAUAGAACUGUUUUUGGACCUCUAAAAAAUAUUACAACAGUGCCUUGGAUGCUUGGAUGAGAAUGCAUCCAGGGAAAAGUUUUACUAUAUAUGAUAUCCCUAGAGUAGUAAAGGAUGUCCUUCCAAAAGCCACCUCAGCUUCAAAUAUCCAAAAGGGUUUUGAAUCCUCAGGUAUAUGGCCCCUAAAUCCUUUCAUUUUUAAUGAUGAAAAUUCUAAUCCUUUAUAUUAUAAUAAUAAUAACGAUUUUAAAUGAGAAUUUAAAUUUAUCUGAAAUUAUUUCGCAACCAUCUGUCAGUGAUAGUCCUGUUCCAUCAUCUUCUCACGGGGAAAAAGAUUUUGCUCCAGAAAUUAUUAAUCCCCAUUCAACAAUAUUUAAAAAAACAACACGUAAUCAAAUGACCUCAGCCAUUUUAACCUCUUCACCUUACAGAAAAAUAGCCAGAUCUAGGGCUAAUAAUCUGAAAAAAAAAUCAAACCAAUAAUAAAAAAAGUUUAAAUAUGAAUGCUGGCAAAAAAGAAUUUUGUUUAGUGUGCCACAAAAACUAUCAAACUCACCACCAUAAUGAAGAUUGGUUCCAAUGCCGUAAUUUUCAUUUAUGGGCACAUGGAUCAUGUUGUGAUUUUAAUCCAUUUUUUAUAUGUAAUAAAUGUGUUGUAUGUUAAUAUUUU
Molecule: long non-coding RNA, 1294 nt
Organism: Gordionus sp. m RMFG-2023
Lineage: Eukaryota; Metazoa; Nematomorpha; Gordioida; Chordodea; Parachordodidae
Exons: 3
Source: RefSeq, a predicted model, not a curated record